AGAGUUUGAUCCUGGCUCAGAACGAACGCUGGCGGCGUGCUUAACACAUGCAAGUCGAACGAGAACGCCCCUUCGGGGGUUAUUAAAGUGGCGGACGGGUGAGUAACGCGUGGGUAAUCUACCUCUCAGUGGGGGACAACCUGCCGAAAGGCGGGCUAAUACCGCGUAACACGAUCGGCUCACAAGGGCCGAUCGUCAAAGGUAGCCUCUGCUUGCAUGCUAUCACUGAGAGAUGAGCCCGCGUCCCAUUAGCUUGUUGGUGGGAUAACAGCCUACCAAGGCUACGAUGGGUAGCCGACCUGAGAGGGUGAUCGGCCACACUGGAACUGAGACACGGUCCAGACUCCUACGGGAGGCAGCAGUGGGGAAUAUUGCGCAAUGGGCCAAAGCCUGACGGAGCGACGCCGCGUGAAUGAAGAAGGCCGAGAGGUUGUAAAGUUCUUUUCUUGGUGAAGAAUAAUAUGAGUAGUGGAAAGACUUAUAGAUGACGUUAGCCAAGGAAUAAGUCCCGGCCAAUUACGUGCCAGCAGCCGCGGUAACACGUAAGGGGCGAGCGCUGUUCGGAAUUAUUGGGCGUAAAGGGCGUGUAGGCGGUCUCAUAAGCCUGGUGUAAAAGAUACUGGCUCAACCAGUAUUUUGCGCUGGGAACUGUAGGUCUUGAGUUUAGGAGGGGAAGCUGGAAUUCCAGGUGUAGGGGUGAAAUCUGUAGAUAUCUGGAAGAACACCGGUGGCGAAGGCGAGCUUCUAUCCAUAGACUGACGCUGAGGCGCGAAAGUGUGGGGAGCAAACAGGAUUAGAUACCCUGGUAGUCCACACUGUAAACGAUGUGCACUGGGCGUAGGAUGCGAUUAAGUGUUCUGUGCCGUAGCUAACGCGUUAAGUGCACCGCCUGGGGAGUAUGCCCGCAAGGGUGAAACUCAAAGGAAUUGACGGGGGCCCGCACAAGCGGUGGAGCAUGUGGUUUAAUUCGAUGAUACGCGAGAAACCUUACCAGGGUUUGACAUGUACAUGUAUGUCAUAGAGAUAUGGCAGCCUCUUUUGAGGCGUGUACACAGGUGCUGCAUGGUUGUCGUCAGCUCGUGUCGUGAGAUGUUGGGUUAAGUCCCGCAACGAGCGCAACCCCUGCUGUCUGUUGCUAACAGGUAAUGCUGAGGACUCAGGCGGAACUGCCGGUGACAAACCGGAGGAAGGUGGGGAUGACGUCAAAUCCUCAUGGCCCUUAUAUCCUGGGCUACACACGUGCUACAAUGGCCGGUACAAAGUGUUGCGAGACGGUGACGUCAAGCUAAUCACAAAAAGCUGGUCUCAGUUCGGAUUGGAGUCUGAAACUCGACUCCGUGAAGUUGGAAUCGCUAGUAAUCGCGCAUCAGCAUGGCGCGGUGAAUACGUUCCCGGACCUUGUACACACCGCCCGUCACACCACCCGAGUUGGGGGUACCCGAAGUCGCUAGUCUAACCGUAAGGAUGGCGGUGCCGAAGGUAUGCCUGGUAAGGGGGGUGAAGUCGUAACAAGGUA
RNAcentral lists this ribosomal RNA (1516 nucleotides) under metagenome. RNAcentral describes it as "bacterial SSU rRNA". It matches the Rfam family "Bacterial small subunit ribosomal RNA". The record is from RNAcentral.